UCGCUUCGGCAGCACAUAUAUUAAAAUUGGGACGAUACAGAGAAGAUUAGCAUGGCCCCUGUGCAAGGAUGACAUGCAAAUUCAUGAAGCAUUCCAUAUUUUU
Molecule: small nuclear RNA, 103 nt
Filed under: Cebus imitator (Panamanian white-faced capuchin)
Lineage: Eukaryota; Metazoa; Chordata; Mammalia; Primates; Cebidae
Source: RNAcentral